CCAUGCCCCUUACGAAGACUACUCCUAGAAAACAAAACAAACGUCCUAUGUGUCCCUUUAAGACCAUGGAUCAGGAUGAGCUAAAGAGUCACAUAAGUGAAUGUGGAUUGAGACAAAUUGAGAAAAGAUCUCAUUGUAAAGAAUGCAGUUACAGCACAAACAAGAAUGCUAAUUUGGCGAGGCAUAAAGAGGCACUGUUAGGAAACUCGAGUACAAGAGAACAGAGAGUCGGUAAAACAUGCUGUUAGUUCACCUUGUCCCUCAGAAGUUCAAAGUCUCAUCGGUGAUGUGUCGGAAGAUUCUGAUAUUGAAGAAGUAAGUUCAGAAGAGCCUGAACCACAGGAAGGUACCAAAGUUGCUGGGAAGAGCCAAAAUGAGUUCGAGAAGUUGAGGGAUGAGAAGUCCUCUGAAAUAGAAGUCGGCAGAACCGUUAGAAAGCCGAGUGAACCGACACCUGUCCAAGUUCCCAAGAGGAGGAUUGGAGACGAAAAGUUCCAGUCUACCUUGCAGAAGACUGUAAAGGCAAUGAACCAGUUCCUGCCUUAGUAAUCUCUGACCUAUUCAAUAUCAAUAUCUCCUGAGCUAUUCAAGGUUUAACACAUUUUCGCAGGAUGGUACAUGUACCGGUACGGACUUUCACUUUACAAUGAGGUCAUGAGGUAAACCCAAACUUCCGCCAGAGGUCGUUUGAUCACAAACGUAUUUACACAGGAGUUGCUAAAACGCGGAACGAAAAACGAAUGAUUAAUGUAGCUAAAAUAACACCAUAAAAUCGGGAAACUAUGCUUUAUUUUAAUUAAAAAUCAAUUUUAGGAUUUGUUUAUAAGAGGUCAAACAAUUUUAUCUUAACAUUCUGCACCAUAAAUUGAUUGUUUACAGUUUACAGAGCGUUUUACAAGAAUUUUGUAACUUUAGCAGCGACACUUAUAUGUAGAGAAUGGAAAGAACACACAGGGUUGUGAUUUUUAAAUGAUUUUUUUCUCGUGGCAAGACAUUUUGUGUUCGAUUUUAUUUUAGUUUGUUUACCAAUAGACAUCGAGUGACCGCGACACUCCAAUCCUAAAUAGGCCAGAACCUCUGGCAGUGUAUUUCCAAUCUAAACACUUGAAUCUUAAUAUUUAGAUUAAUAAUGAGAUGACCGUUAAUUCCAUUAAAACAUAAAUUCUCUGUUAGCCUUUCAUAUAUUUUGAAAUAAAUCUGUUCCUCUUACUAAGGGGCAUAAACUUCACCUUAGUUUCAUUGGUUGUUUCAAUCGUAUUUGAGACAUCAGAAACUAAUACUAAUUCAGUGGCGGAUCCAAAAAUUUCUGAAUGGGGACGCAGUAAACAACUGGGUUAGAGGUACUUGCUUACCCAGUGCCAAGCCCCCUCAAACUUGAGUUAUGACAAAUAUGGAGUGGUUUGGACGUAUUUAUAUAAAAAAAAAAUAAUUAAAAUUUAAGGGGUGCGCCCAGCGCUGGAUCCAUCACGGCGAUAUGCGAUCUGGUCACCUUAAAAUCAGUCUGCAUCUUACACCAAGGUCUUCCCUAGAAGAACCUCUAUGACUUAGAAGACAAAUAUAUUUGUAAUUAUCCAAAGAUUUCACGUUGUUCUACGCGUAGCCGGAAACAUUUGUCAACAUGCUCCCUGGAUGAGCCGUACGACUCCAUAACUCUGUCCAAUACUUCGCCUUUGAUCCACUCACUCUGAUCAUCAGUACAAAGUAACACUGAGUCGAUCAAACGUUAUUGUUUAAUAGUUGGUAUCUAAUAGAAAAACAUUACUAAGAUCAUGUAAAUUUGUAUCAUUGUUCUUUUUAACGUACAGUAGUCUCCGUUAUUAUUUUUUAUACAUGAAGCAAGUUAAUUUUACACACAAAGUAAGAAAUUUUGGCGGAAUACCCCUUCCCCCUUUCUUUACAGCAGUAAAGAAUGGGAGUGGAAAUACAAACUUCAACUAAUGGAUUGAAACUAUGUCGUAGUGAAGAGGACCAUUGCUUCCCAAACUUUGAAAAACGAUGCGAGAAAUAAAAGUUCGAUUGUAAAAAAAAUAAUAAAAAAAUCCAUAACAUAUAACAGAAUGCUGUUUAAUUGGCCUAUAUACAUUAAGCAUUUAAUCCAUUGUAUUGACAAGACAACAUACAUUGUAUAACACAAAAUAAUAGCCUGACACUGGGACCAGUACAUAUAUUUACAUAUAUAUACUCUGUCAGAGCUACAGGUACAGAUCCACAGAAAAUGCAAUCAGCAUCCUACACAUUCAAACAAGUACACAAAUAAUUUCAUCAACAUCCAAAUAUGAAGAUACUUUAUUUCUACAUUCGCAGAAUGCAACAGAUUAUUGAUAUCAGCGCUGUAUAUAGACAUCAAAAAACUAUUGCACACUCAUGCCCUGUGUCAGGGAAGAACCUUUGGCUCCAUCAACAUGUUUGGUCAUGAAACUAAUCCCUGCUCACUGUUCACUAUGGAGAUUUGGAUAAUUCAUGUACAUGUUUGUCAACAAAUGACCAAUUCAUACAAGAUAUAUAUAU
Ostrea edulis (European flat oyster) is the source of this 2508-nucleotide long non-coding RNA. RefSeq lists it as uncharacterized. The transcript has 2 exons. The record is from RefSeq and is a predicted model, not a curated record. Lineage: Eukaryota; Metazoa; Mollusca; Bivalvia; Ostreida; Ostreidae.